Molecule: long non-coding RNA, 2035 nt
Organism: Oreochromis aureus
Lineage: Eukaryota; Metazoa; Chordata; Actinopteri; Cichliformes; Cichlidae
Exons: 4
Source: RefSeq, a predicted model, not a curated record
GGCAAACUGUGUCCUAAAACUCUACUGCUUCGUGUUGUCUCCUUCCCUUUAGCGAGCUCGAGGUGAAGAAGAACGUUUGGUUUUAUCUCGGUCGUUAACGGAUAAUGUAGAAAAAAAGAUUUGGGAUAUCCAGUACUCAAAGACAAUAACUUAACUUUGAAGUGUUAACUAUUUUUAUAACUGCGUCGAGGUUUAUUCAACAUCCAACACAACAUGUUGUCUGCCCGACGACAGGCACAAAGGCCUGUAACUUCUACAGCCUCGGCGCGUUGGGAAAGUCGUCCCAGCUGAGUCUGCACAGGACGUCACUCUGUCGAGCUCCAAACAACAACUUCAUAGUUAUAGAGUCAAGAGGAGGAGCUGACCUGGAAGAUGAACAUGUCCUUUAGUACUGAGACAAGCAGCUUGAUCCAGAUGAACAGCAUCCAUCUUUUAAGAACCGGGUGGAUCUGCAGGACAGACAGAUGAAGGAUGGAGACGUGUCUUUGAUUCUGAGGGACAUCAUAACUGCAGAUGCUGGAAAAUACAAGUAUCGUGUCUUCAAGAGAGGAACAAGCCGGAGGGAGAGAGCCCUUUUUCAAGAAUGACCCCAUCAGCAUCAUCUACCUUCAUGUUGAUCCUCCAGGGAGAACUGAGGAUGUCAGUUAUGGACGAAUCAUCAACAAAUCAUCAUCAGAGAGAAGAGAAACAUUUAAAGAAAACCAUAGACUCGGAGGAAGAGGGUGGUCUGUACUUGGUGUCAGAGACAGAAAUGAGAAAAAGCUGAAAUGAGUGAGAAGGACGAUGAAGGAAACAUCUGUGCUGUGUCUGCUCUGUAAGUAGAAUCUCCUGCACUACAGAGCAGGUUUAUUAUACCCAGGGUAUGUUUCUGUUAUUCAGAUUAGUUUACAGUAACAUUGGUAAUCAGGAUAUUCUGUCAUAUGAAGCUUGUUAUCAACUCACUCAGUUAACCUGGAGUUUCCCUCCCUGCACCUCCACAAGUGCUGUUUUCACACAGUUAUGGAUAACAGUUGGUGGGAGGGUGAUGUGGGUCAGCCAUGAUGCUAGUGGCUUUCUGAAAGCAGUGUGUGGUAGGGCUCAUCUGCAUGAAUAAGAUGAGUUAAAGUUUAUAUAUUAGUCUUUAACAAUGAUUUAAAAGAAGACGCUGAUGAGGCGAGCCAGAUUUCUUCAGGCAGGUCAUCCCAGGAUGGAGGAGUCCUCACAGCAAACAUUCAGUCGUCUUUAAGUGUGAGCUGGGAACAGUGAACAGGUUUGUGCCUGCAGCAUCUCAGGAUGUACACACUGACUGGGACACAAGCACCAGUUCCAGUAAAUAUUCUGGUGCCAGUAAACUGUUAAGAUGGAGCAAUUUAAUCUUAUUUAAUCAGUUUAUUUUUCAUCCUGCAGUUAAAAUGUAUCAAAACAGGAUUGUGUGUCUCUGCAGAUGCUGUGUGAUCUGACACACCAGCACAAAAUGUGUCAAAGUUCACUAAGUUACAUUAUUGUAACUGUGAUGCGUUCACUGACAUGUCCUCAUGCUUUGCUGUAUAUAAAGAGAACAGAGAGGCUCUGCUUUGUGCUGAUAUUCUCCUCCUGUGUGUUUGUGUGUACAGAGUUUCUACCAGAGCCAAAUGUCAUCGACUCCUCACUGAAGUCGUCCACCAGUCCAACCACUGGAAUCCAGCUGCUGCUCUCUAACUGGUCCACACAGCAGCUCAGAGCUGACACAUUCACUGUAAACACACUGGUUUAUAUUCUGUUUGUUCUCCUCAUGAAGGAAACCUCACACAACCACUGAGGGCAGAAAGUUCAAAUGGAGAGUUUUUGUUAUUGUUUUCUUCUAUAAAGAAGCUCAAGAAAACUGUCCUUUCAGAAUAAAAGCAUGACCAAGACAUCAUGUCUACAUAAACAAUAAUAAAUGGUAUGUAACUAAAAUGUAGAUGUAAUCCAUGUUUUCAUGUCUUCAGUAACUUUGCUGUUAUUUCUAAGUGUGCUGUCGUCUCCACAGCAGUGAUCUGGUUUCUCUGCAGGUUCAAUAAACUUUGGUCUCACUUGA